This 173-nucleotide ribosomal RNA is filed under the name Dryophytes japonicus (Japanese treefrog). RNAcentral describes it as "partial 12S rRNA". The record is from RNAcentral. Lineage: Eukaryota; Metazoa; Chordata; Amphibia; Anura; Hylidae.
CGCCGCGGUUACACCACGAGGCUCAAAUUGAUUACUUUCGGCGUAAAGCGUGAUUAAAGUUACCCAUUAACUAUAGUUGUAUUUUAACUAAGCUGUGACACGCUUGUUCUUAAGAAACUCAAAAACGAAAGUUACUAUAUAUAAACCAACUUGAACCCACGACAGCUGAGGCA